AAUUUAUUUAUCGUGUUUCAACCCAUUUUAGUCACUAUACUUCCUGAUGCUCUCCUGUCCCGCCUGUGGCCAGGGGGGUCCCUUCCCAUCAGCUGCGUGUCAUUGGACAAGAGUCAGGAUGGCCCAGUCUCACGUGGGUGCCCAACCCCGGCAGCCCAGGCCCCAAAGAAGGAAAAGGGCAAGAGUGGGCUGUGGCCCCGAGGGGACAAGCACACGUGAGAACCUCGUUUCCAGACAAAGCCCCGUGCUCCUGCAGGAGCUUGCGAGGGGCUCCUGCAACGCUCUUUUUUCUGGAGGUAAUAAUGCUUGCUCUCAGCCCCUCAAAGCUCCCCUCUCCCUUUUCAACCUGCUGUGACGGCCCCUGUCCUGUUUUCCUGGUUGUUACAGGGUUUUUGGCUCCAAGGGCUCCACAGCUUCCCAGCCCGGAUCCCAAGGCCCGCAAACCACCCUCAACACCUGCGCCAGACCGCACGCUCCAUGCUCCCUACUUCUGAGCUUCCGAAAUGUUUCUAAAAACCAAACAAAACCAGACACUGGCCCUGGUGCUGCCUCCUUGAUGCCAUCCUGAUGUGUCAAUUCACUCCUCCCGCAGGUGCCAUGGUUUCAGUCACAGGGGCGCCUACCCUCCUCCGCCACGUCCCCCCUACCUCCAGAUUCCCAUCACACUGUCAGCCUCCAAGUCCUGUCCCAGGGACCCUCCUCCGCAGCCAGCAGACUGGUGAGGACCUGCAUCCACUCCAUGCUGCUCUCAGAGGCUCCCUCUGCACUACCCAGCUGUGCUCAGCCUCCCGAGCCCAGGCCUCCACCUUGGGGAGGCCGGAGCCUCCUUGCCUCUCUGCCUCCCCAUGGACCUGCCCCUCUGCUUCCACUGGGGCCUCAGGAUGCUCCUUUCUGCUGCCUGUCCUGUGACCCCUGCCCCACAUAGCAAACUUUUCCACUUUUCUUUGUUAAAAUAAUUAAGCAUGAAUAUUAAGAACAUGUUUUUAUGUCAAGUGCGCUGUAAUGACAGUUGAUCGGGGGGGAAGGCUUAGCGCUCCUCUGAAUCCCAAGCUUCACAAACAUGGUCUCCCAGCACCACUGGGGACUGAGGACAGGCCUGGGAAGGAUCACCUUGGGUCCAGAACGUUCUCCCCGUCCGGCUCUUGCUGUCCCGAUGGCUUCUCCUGCUCUUUCCUGGUUCCUCAUCUUGAUGUUCCUUGUACCUCCC
Molecule: long non-coding RNA, 1207 nt
Filed under: Bos mutus (wild yak)
Lineage: Eukaryota; Metazoa; Chordata; Mammalia; Artiodactyla; Bovidae
Description: lncRNA (ENSBMUG00000009354.1)
Source: RNAcentral